GAUAUAAAUAUUUUAAAUGAUCAUGCAGCGACUAUCAAGAUGAAGAACUGAAAUAAAUCACUGUGUUCUUGAUAAUUUGUAUCUUGUUUAUAUGUAUUGUGUACGAUUUUGUCAUAUGCACAUUUACUAGAGAGCCUGUCGCAAUUACCGUGAUUUUUUGGACAACGGUUGUCUUGCAAGAAGGACCUGCUUACGCUUCUGGAGCACAUUUAGUUGCACCAGUUUUUUUUAGGGGUCCGUGUUUCUAAUUUGAUUUUAUAGUUUUCAAUGUUGAAUGGUGUUGUUUGUCCUUGUGUGUCUUAUUUGUUCUCUGGUUUGUCUUUUGUCCCUUGAUCGCGAUUCUUUUUUAAAAAUACAAUGUACUUUCUACAUAAAUUCUACACCAUUCCUACAGGUUUUCUAAAUUAUUGUAAUAAACAAUGGAAAGAGUAAAUCGGCGGUCUCACGAAAACCGCCUCCUGGUGAAGUAUAGAUAUGUGAAAUAAUGGUGAUUUAUGUUCGGGUUUUGUGUUACGGAAGGGCACUCAAAGAAAGGCACAGUGCAGAAAGGGGUAUGAAGCCUUAGAGGUCUUACGAAGUCCCGAACAUAACCAAUCCCGACUUUUAAUGAACAAUUCCGG
This 620-nucleotide long non-coding RNA is filed under the name Mytilus galloprovincialis (Mediterranean mussel). The record is from RNAcentral. Lineage: Eukaryota; Metazoa; Mollusca; Bivalvia; Mytilida; Mytilidae.